Long non-coding RNA from Aegilops tauschii subsp. strangulata, 658 nucleotides. RefSeq lists it as uncharacterized. NCBI's taxonomy places the organism in Eukaryota, Viridiplantae, Streptophyta, Magnoliopsida, Poales, Poaceae. The record is from RefSeq and is a predicted model, not a curated record.
GAGCUCUCCCAUCAAAAGAUCCUCUCCACCGUCCCGGGGCUGCUCCGCCCAUCUCCGCCCGCCCUCGAGUAGGACUCGGCCCGCCCAACAGCCUCUCCACGCCGGCCUUCUGGAGCUGCGCCUCCCACCAUAGCUAGUCAUGAGAGCUUACAACCUAUGAGGACCCACAUUCUUCCUGUAUAUCCUUGACGCCACAGCCUCCCCGCACCCUCCCGUUGUUGAUGGUUUGGGUCUGCCUACCGAGGGAGAAGGGGAUGAUGGCUGCCGCUCCUUCUCUCGAGCCCUUGCCGCGAUGAAGCCGUGGGAGGAGAGGGGCACGUGCACGGUGGACCUGCUCCGAGCCCCUCAAGCGACCCAUCUUCAAGGUGAUCACUUCAUCCACAUGAGGAGGUGCAUGGGAGAGGCUGGUGGUGCGAAAGGCAGGGAUGUGCCUGCCGAGCCCGAUGACGGGGACGGGUCCGGGGAAAUUUUCAUUGGCGAUGUAGCCCGGAAGACAACCGAAGGUAGAUAUGAGUAAUUCAUGUAGGUUGUUUUGCUAAGGAUGGGACAAUUUUAGAUUUGUGGCGAACGAUGUGGGUGGGUCAGUUGUGUAUGCAACAACAAUUCUAAAACGAUGAACUGUUCUUCUUCCUCUUUCAAGUUGUGUCGCUUUAAUUAA